Molecule: long non-coding RNA, 6452 nt
Organism: Dama dama (fallow deer)
Lineage: Eukaryota; Metazoa; Chordata; Mammalia; Artiodactyla; Cervidae
Exons: 3
Source: RefSeq, a predicted model, not a curated record
CGUGGAGUCCUAACCACUGGACCGCCAAGAGCUGUUAUGACUGAUAAUCAACAAAAGGGUACAAGGAAUCAGAGGCUUACAUUGCGAGUGCCAAGAUUAUAUAGCACUCCUGAGCUCACCUGAUAGAUCAGAUUCUAUGUGCGUAAUUCCCCCAUUGGGAAGGAGUCAGUGAUAGAAGAAAUUUCCAUGAACGUCUGCACUCAAAAAUGUGAAGAAUUUUGUUGUCAGCUAAUUCAUGCUGAUGCACAUAUCUUGGAUCCAGAAAUAUAGAUGACAAUGGUACUAUUCCUGCUGAUGGGUGGAUCACAGAAAAGCAAUAUCCACUGAGGACCUGAUGGUUCUUUCAAGUGUUAAAAGAAAACAGAAUUUCUUCAGGGACUUGUUUUAGGAAUGUAGCUUGGGAUUUCGCCAAGCAUAUCUUCUCUGUCACUCAGUGGCGUGGUUUUGCAUGACAGUGUCUGGCUCCUCUUGUUUCUGAUUUCUUCUUUUUCAUAUGAAAGGUAUUUCUCAAGGUUUGGAAAUACUCCAAAUCAAGAUAUGUAAAAGAUGCUUGACUCAAUCCAAGAAGACUGUACAUUUUCUGAAUUUGUCAUGAUGAAAAAUGAAAUAUUACAUAUAGGUAUUGUGGUAGUUCAGAAAAGUGAGACAUUAAAUUCUAUGGGGCUAACAUUCAUUGUGUAGCAUUCAUUGUGUAUAAUGAACUUGACAAACAUCUGUAGAACAAAGCAGAAUUCAACCAUCUGAGAAGACUCCCAGAUCCCAACCUUUUUUUUUUUUUUUGGUCAAUGGGAAUGCUUCAUGAAGGCACAGCACAUGAACUAGACAAUAUAGUACAUUUAGAAUUUGGAUGAUGAAGGUGAGUUUGGGGUAAGAGGCUUUUGGCAAAGAAAAUAGUAUAAGCAGAGAUGAAACAGAGGUGGAGAUGUGGGACAUAUUAAGGAAACUUCUUUCUUUCCCUAGUUCCUUUUCUGAAAGUAAAUACUUGAGGUAGCUGCUUGUGGAGGACAUACAGUUCAGAUAGUAUGACAUCUUUCUUUGUCUUGUUUUACUUUAAUGGUGAUUGUCUGAUUUUUAGAAUUACUUGCUAUUCUUAAACUGGAAAGAAAAAAGAAAUGUCAAAGUCUUUAAGUUUUAGCAGUUGCCAUCUUCAUUUCAACUAAACAGUGUUUUAAAAUACGCCUGCUAUAUAUAAGAUGUUGAUGAACAAGAUAAAAUUCCUGCCCUUGAAACAUGUGCACCCUGUUAAGAGAAAUUUCACCUUGGAAAUUUUAAUAAUUUGAGCAAACUAUGCUUUAAUGUUCAAUUUAUUACACAAUAUAAACAAACCAAAUUGUGCAUAAUUUGGUAUAUUCCCGUUGUGAUUCUAGAGCUACACUGUUCAGUAUAUUAACCACUAGCCACUUGCGGCUGUUAAAAUGAAUGAAAAUUAAAUAAAAUUAAAAACUAAGUCACACUGGUUCAUUUCUGAGUGCUUAGCAGCCACAUAUGACUAGUAUUUAUUAGUAUAUACUGUACUGGAAAGCAAAGAUACUGAUUAUUCCGCAGUUGGAGGAAGCUCUGUCCUGCCCAGAGAUCUAAAACGUGUUUUAAUUGCUUUGGUCGGGUGACUGGCUGAGUCGUUCUCCUCGAUGAAGCAGCCACAGUACUGAGCGUUUUUGCUGUGCCAGGCGUUGUGCCAAGGCCAGCAUCGUGUCAGAGAAGCCCCGCAACAGCCCAGCGAAGAUGAAGAGACUGGAGCUGAGCAAGGUCAAGUCACGUGCCCAACAUCACUUAGCUGAGAAAAGGCCGAGUCAGGAUCUGUACCUAAGCCCCUCUGAUGCCGUAUGUGCAUGUGUGCUCACUCAGUUGUGUCCGACUCGUUGCGACCCCAUGGACUGUAGCCCGCCAGGCUCCUCUGUCCUUGGGAUUUCCCAGGCAAGAAUACUGGAAUGGGUUGCUAUUUCCUCCUCCAGGGGAUCUUCCCAACCCAGGAAUCUGAACCUGCGUCUGCUACGUCUCUUGCAUUGGCAGGAUUCUUUACCACCGCGCCACCUGGGAAGCCUCUCUAUAAACCUUCAUUAAAUGCCUGCCAUGUGCCAGGUGUUGUGAUAGAGCUAAGUAAUAAAGAAAAGUCAUGGUUUCUGUCCACAGGGACUUUUCAGUCUGGUGGAGGAAAGAGAUAAGUUAACAGGUGGAUUACAUAGGAUAUGAUAAAUGUUUUCAUUUAUCGUAGGUAAAUAAUCUGCCUGCAUUGCAGGAGACCCUGGUUCGAUUCCUGGGUCGAGAAAAUCUGCGGGAGAAGGGAUAGGCUACCCAUUCUAAUAUUCUUGGGCUUCCCUUGUGGCUCAGCUGGUAAAGAAUCUGCCUGCCAUGUGGGAGACCUGGGUUUGAUCCCCGGGGUUGGGAAGAUCCCCUGGAGAAGGGAAAGGCUACCCACUCCACUGUUCUGGCCUAGAGAAUUCCAUGGACUGUAUAGUCCAUGGGGUUGCAAAGAGUCAGACACAACGGAGCGACUUUCACUCACUGUGGGAGAAGAAAUCCAAGAGGCUAUGAGCAGUAUAUAAGGAAAACUACAGAAGCAAUGCUCAAGGUUUACCUCUGAGGAAAGGUCAAGAGAUACUGGCUUGUGUAAGCUGAGAGAGUGAGUGAAAAGAUGAUCCUGGCAGUGUAAAACACCUAGGAUGUAAAAGAGCACAGCAAACUGGAGGGACUGAAAGAUGUUCACUCUGACUGGGGCCCACGUAAUCUCUAAGAUCUAGUAAUUCAGAGUCUUUUUAUGAUAUAUUUAAAUUAUUUUAAAAAACAGGCUGAAGUUGAACGGUUCUAUGAAGACCUACAAGACCUUCUAGAACUAACGCCCAAAAAAGAUGUCCUUUUCAUUAUAGGGGACUAGAAUGAAAAAGUAGGAAGUCAAGAAAUAUCUGGAGUAACAGGCAAAUUUGCCCUUGGAAUACAGAAUGAAGCAGGGCAAAGGCUAAUAGAGUUUUGCCAAGAGAACACACUGGUCAUAGCAAACACCCUUUUCUAGUAGCACAAGAGAAGACUCUACACAUGAACAUCACCAGAUGGUCAAUACCAAAAUCAGAUUGAUUAUAUUGUUUGCAGCCAAAGAUGGAGAAGCUCUUACAGUCAGCAAAAACAACACUGAGAGCUGACUGUGGCUCACAUCAUGAACUCCUUAUGCACAGAUGGGCACAAUAAAGGACAGAAAUGGUAUGGACCUAAUAGAAGCAGAUGAUAUUAAGAAGAAGUGGCAAGAAUACACAGAAGAACUAUACAAAAAAGAUCUUCCUGACCCAGAUAAUCAUGAUGGUGUGAUCACUCACCUAGAGCCAGAGAUCCAGGAAUGUGAAGUCGAGUGGGCCUUAGGAAGCAUCACUACAAACAGAGCUAGUGGAGGUGGUGGAAUUCCAGUUGAGCUAUUUCAGAUCCCAAAAGAUGAUCUGUUAAUGUGCUGCACUCAAUAUACCAGCAAAUUUGGAAAGCUCUGCAGUGGCCAUAGGACUGGAAAAGGUCAGUUUUCAUUCCAAUCCCAAAGAAAGGCAAUGCCAAAGAAUGCUAAAACUACCACACAACUACAUUCAUCUCUCAUGCUAGCAAAGUAAUGCUCAAAAUUCUCCAAGCCAGACUUCAACAGUACAUGAACCGUGAACUUCCAGAUGUUCAAGCUGGAUUUAUAAAAGGCAGAGAAACCAGAGAUCAAAUUGCCAACAUCCGCUGGAUCAUUGAAAAAGCAAGAGAGUUCCAGAAAAACAUUUACUUCUGCUUUGUUGACUAUGCCUAAGCGUUUGUGUGGAUCACAGCAAACUGUGGAAAAUUCUUCAAGAGAUGGGACUACCAGACCACCUGACAUGCCUCCUGAGAAAUCUGUGUGCAGGUCAAGAACCAACAUUUAGAACUGGGCAUGGAACAAGAGACUGGUUCCAAAUAGGGAAAGGAGUACAUCAAAGCUGUAUUUUGUCACCCUGCUUAUUUAACUUAUAUGCAGAGUACUGUAUGUGAAAUGCUGGGCUGUAUGAAGCACAAGCUGGAAUCAAGAUAGCUGGGAGAAAUAUCAAUAACCUCAGAUAUGUAGAUGACACCACCCUCAUGGGAGAAAGUGAAGAACUAAAGAGCCUCUUGAUGGAGGUGAAAGUGGCGAGUGAAAAAGUUGGCUUAAAGCUCAACAUUCAGAAAACUAAGAUCAUGGCAUCUGGUCCCAUCACUUCAUGGUUAAUAGAUGGGGAAACAAUGGAAACAGUGACAGCCUUUAUUUUUUGGGGCUCCAAAAUCACUGCAGAUGGUGACUGCAGCCAUGAAAUUAAAAGACGCUUGCUCCUUGGAAGGAAAGUUAUGACUAAUCUAGACAGCAUAUUAAAAAGCAGAGACAUUACUUUGCCGACAAAGGUCUAUCUAGUCAAAGCUAUGGUUUUUCCAGUAGUUGUGUGUGGAUGUGAUAAUUGGACUAUAAAGAAAGCUGAGCCCCAAAGAAUUGAUGCUUUUGAAGUGUGGUGUUGGAGAAGACUCUUGAGAGUCCCUUCGAUUGCGAGGAGAUCCAACCAGUCCAUCCUAAAGGAGUUCAGUCCUGAUUAUUCAUUGGAAGGACUGAUGAUGAAGCUGAAACUCCAGUACUUUGGCCACCUGAUGCAAAGAGCUGACUCAUUUGAAAAGACCCUGAUGCUGGGAAACAUGGAAGCCGGGAGGAGAAUGGGACGACAGAGGAUGAGAUGGUUUGGAUGGCAUCGCUGACUCCGUGGACAUGGUUUGAAUAGGCUCUGGGAAUUGGUGAUGAACAGGAAAGCCUGGCGUGCUGCAGUCUAUGGGGUUGCAAAGAGUUGGACACAACUGAGCAACUGAACUGAACUGAAAAAACAGGGUCCUUCCUUUUCUGAAAAGAAAAAAAAGAUCCCUGGGUCUCUCCCACUGUUUGGGGAGCUUCUUAUACCUAUCUUACAUUUGUAGAUCCUGCAGUUACAGGAAGAUAAGAGGUAAAAAGAUAUUGGAGAAAAGAAGGAAGAAAGAGAGAAAGAUAGUCAGAACAAGCUGCAGAGAAGUAAGAUAGGUAAUAUUUGAUGGGGAAUGUCAGUACCAUUUAUAAUUCUCAGACUCCCUGUCUCUUAGCAAAAGUUCAGAUCAGCCAUUUCUAAAGGUCAUGUUUUGCUAUCAUGAAAUGUAUUUAUGUGAGAAUAUUUUUGAUAAGGUAUCUAAAAAUUGAAUUGCUGUAGUGUUUCAUUUCAUUAGAAAUCAUAAUAUAAUUUUCUUUAUUUUAUUGUCAUGUCUGUGCACUUACAGUGUAUUCCACCUGGCAGAAAUUUAAAAGCUGUUAUUUUUAUAGGGGAAUACAUAGUCAUUGUAAGACUAAGAUUGAAACAUAAGGAGUCAGAGAUGGAGUAGGGUCAGGACACAAUGAAUUGUAUCUUUACUCACCAAUUCCAGAGAUUAUUCUAUGUAUUAUACAAAAUACAUUACACAUAAUAAAUCUCUCAUGCUUUGUAAAUAUUUAGUUGUUGUUGAUUUAUUUCUGCCCUACUGGCAGCCAUCACGUCUCUGUUCUGCAUUGUGAAACUUUGUUUAUAUGUCUGUGUCAACAUCAUCUGCUCUAGGAUGGAGGCUUCUGGAAGGCAGGGAUGAUGUCUAUUUGCUUUGCAUAAUGCUUAGCAUAUAGCUCUUUACAUGGAGCUUUAUUUUUGUUUGAUGGUGAUGAUUUUCUUUAUGUAUUUCUUUUCUUUCCUGUCUUCAGAUUGGCCACAUCUUCUGAUAACAAUGAAUCCCAUGGAACACAAAAGUGAAAUUAACUGUUGAAUGCCUACUAAGGCUGGGCAGCCCAAUGCCUCUUGCAGCUAUAUGAGGUCUUACACCACCACAAAGAGGCACCCUCUUGUUAAAAAAUUAAAAAUACAGAGAAGCCACCCACGUUGGUUUUCAUGAAGGAAAAAUUUGGUGUCUAGUUUUACCACCAAGUGCUUGUCAAAUAAACUUGGUAUGAAAUCAAGGCUGAAUACAGUAAACAGAAAAUUCAGAUAAAAGCUAAGUGGAAAAAAAAAUCCUCUUUAUUUCCAUCCCUAUUCUUUUUGGGGAUGGGCUUCUGGAAUAGUGUUGGGGGUUGAAUGUAAGUUUGAUCAAAUGGAGCUGGAGCCAAGUGAGUAAAAACUCAGUAUUUUUUGAAGAUCUUCCAACUCUUUGUUUUAGUAAAAACAGAUUUUACUAGUGUAUCCUCCUUCAGAUUGUCCACCUUUUAAAACUUGCAUCACUAAAUUAUAAAUCUGGGUAUUCAAAGGCAUUGUGUGGACACAAUUAUUAAGUUUAAUUUUGUUAGAAUAUUCCAAACACUAAAAAGAAACAUCCUAGAUUCUUAAGGUACCUUUAAACUUUUCCUUAAAAACUUCCCUUUCUCCUUUACCUUGCCUUUUCUGCCCUUUCUCUAGAUUUAUCAUGAAUUUUUCUAUUGUAUUUCAGAGAACUUUUAGGGGUUACUUGUUACAACUUUUAUUAUA